GGUGGGGGGUGUUGUUUU
RNAcentral lists this microRNA (18 nucleotides) under Homo sapiens (human). RNAcentral describes it as "hsa-miR-4472". Lineage: Eukaryota; Metazoa; Chordata; Mammalia; Primates; Hominidae. The record is from miRBase by way of RNAcentral.